CGCAGCCGCGGGAAUACAGAGGGUGCGAGCGUUAAUCAGAUUUACUGGGCGUAAAGCGUGCGUAGGCGGCUUCUUAAGUCGGAUGUGAAAUCCCUGAGCUUAACUUAGGAAUUGCAUUCGAUACUGGGAAGCUAGAGUAUGGGAGAGGAUGGUAGAAUUCCAGGUGUAGCGGUGAAAUGCGUAGAGAUCUGGAGGAAUACCGAUGGCGAAGGCAGCCAUCUGGCCUAAUACUGACGCUGAGGUACGAAAGCAUGGGGAGCAAACAGGAUUAGAUACCCCAGUAGUCCCUGUCUCUUAUACA
This 301-nucleotide ribosomal RNA is filed under the name uncultured bacterium. RNAcentral's name for it is "partial 16S ribosomal RNA". It matches the Rfam family "Bacterial small subunit ribosomal RNA", at positions 510 to 808 of the family's 1533-position model. The record is from RNAcentral.